This 358-nucleotide ribosomal RNA is filed under the name uncultured bacterium. RNAcentral's name for it is "bacterial SSU rRNA". It matches the Rfam family "Bacterial small subunit ribosomal RNA", at positions 29 to 415 of the family's 1533-position model. The record is from RNAcentral.
AGCGAACGCCGGCGGCAGGCCUAACACAUGCAAGUCGAACGGAUCCUUCGGGAUUAGUGGCGGACGGGUGAGUAACACGUGGGAACGUGCCCUUUGGUUCGGAACAACUCAGGGAAACUUGAGCUAAUACCGGAUGUGCCCUUCGGGGGAAAGAUUUAUCGUCAUUGGAGCGGCCCGCGUCUGAUUAGCUAGUUGGUGAGGUAAAGGCUCACCAAGGCGACGAUCAGUAGCUGGUCUGAGAGGAUGAUCAGCACAUUGGGACUGAGACACGGCCCAAACUCCUACGGGAGGCAGCAGUGGGGAAUCUUGCGCAAUGGGCGAAAGCCUGACGCAGCCAUGCCGCGUGAAUGAUGAAGGU